Molecule: ribosomal RNA, 81 nt
Filed under: Gemella sanguinis
Lineage: Bacteria; Bacillati; Bacillota; Bacilli; Caryophanales; Gemellaceae
Description: partial 16S ribosomal RNA
Rfam family: Bacterial small subunit ribosomal RNA
Source: RNAcentral
CGGUGGGACAGAUGAUUGGGGUGAAGUCGUAACAAGGUAGCCGUAUCGGAAGGUGCGGCUGGAUCACCUCCUUUCUAAGGA